RNAcentral lists this long non-coding RNA (513 nucleotides) under Crocodylus porosus (Australian saltwater crocodile). Its description in RNAcentral is "lncRNA (ENSCPRG00005004139.1)". Lineage: Eukaryota; Metazoa; Chordata; Crocodylia; Crocodylidae. The record is from RNAcentral.
UACAAUUCAAACAUCCAGAGAAUAAGUUUAAUUAAAAUUUGGCUAUACAUUUUUUAAAGAUAAAAAAACUAAAGAAAUGAGCUAAUUAUAUUGCUUAGUAUUCUGCUAUUUUUUUUUUAAUAACAUGCUUUUGUAGCCAGGCCAGUCCCUUGAGAACCAGUUCCUCAUUUAUAAGAAGGUCUCCAGUGGGAGUUAAAAAGAGGCUCUCUUAUAAGGAGAAUAUAUUUUGAAAGAGGAGCCAUAUAAAGAUAACCCUGCAUUGCAUAUAUCAGUAUGGAGGCUCAAAUAUUCCAGUGAGAUUUCCCCUGUGGUAUGUGUAACUUUUAUGCAAAUAUUAAGGAUUCACAUUUUCAGAGAACCUGAACUUCACUAACUUAAUAACAACACUGUUACAGCAAGACUUCUGUGAGAUCUCCUACCUUAGAAGCAUAGCCACUGCUAAGUCCCACCUUGGAGCUUCCCAUUUCCUACAGGAAGGAAGGAAUUAAAGCAAGGAUCCCUAGCAUAUUAGUA